RNAcentral lists this long non-coding RNA (950 nucleotides) under Erythranthe guttata (spotted monkey flower). RNAcentral describes it as "long non-coding RNA (EGUT_LNC002140)". The record is from RNAcentral. Lineage: Eukaryota; Viridiplantae; Streptophyta; Magnoliopsida; Lamiales; Phrymaceae.
AUAUCUGACAUGCUCGAUAAUAAUCCACAAUUUCCAUGACAUGUAUAACUUGAGAAAAUGAACAAGAUGAUCAAAUUUCCAUGACAAUACACCUUUUAUUUAUUACAUCUACGAUUACAACUAACAACAUCAAAAUAAUCCAAACAUCCUCUAAAAUAACUAGUUCAUCGCAUACAAAGAGCAUUAACUACAACUACAAAAGUUUGAUGUCUUCUGGAGUUGAGAUGCGAUUUCCAUGUGUGAAAACUUAGUUUCUUGAAGAAGGUUGCUAGGAAUGUCGAUCUUGAUGGUUGGACACUUAUUAGCUAGUAAUUUUUCCAUCGAAGAAAGAUUACUAAUUAACAAGGAAAUUUAUUAUUUAACGUGCAUAGGAAAUUUAUUAUUGCAGAAAAAGAGGGGUUGGAAAGCAACAACGGCACUUUUUAGUGUGAUAGAGGUUGAUUAUAUAGAUCAAUCAGACAGGUGGUGGUGGGGAUGGGCAAAAUAUUGCGCGAGGUAAUACUGUGCAAAGAAGUGGAUUACGCGGAGGUGGAGGUGGGGCUGGUGGGGUUGGGCAAAGUAAUGGGAGAGGUAAUAUCGUGCAAAUAAGUGAACGCGGAGGGGGAGGUGGCGACGUUGGUGGAGGAGGAAGGGUUGGGGGUGGGGGAGGUGAAGGCGGGGGAGGGGAAGGUGGUGGAGGUGAUGGUGGAGGUGGAGGUGGUGAUGGUGGUGGCGGAGACCUAGGUGGUGGUGGAGGAGAUGGGCAAAAUAUUGGUAUGCCAAAUAUGGGAAGUCGUAUGCAUGGCAGAAGUUGAGCAUUGAUAGUUGUAACCAACAUAGGCAAGAGCGCUAUUAGAACCCAUACUUUGAGUUCCAUAUUGAUUACAGCUAACAAGAAAACUAAAGAUCCACGAUGUGUUUGUUGUAAAAAAGAGAUGAGUUUUUUUCAUAUAUAUAGGCAUCAAUUUGUG